RNAcentral lists this ribosomal RNA (253 nucleotides) under uncultured bacterium. RNAcentral's name for it is "partial 16S ribosomal RNA". It matches the Rfam family "Bacterial small subunit ribosomal RNA", at positions 524 to 776 of the family's 1533-position model. The record is from RNAcentral.
UACGGGGGGGGCAAGCGUUGUUCGGAAUUACUGGGCGUAAAGGGCUCGUAGGCGGCCAACUAAGUCAGACGUGAAAUCCCUCGGCUUAACCGGGGAACUGCGUCUGAUACUGGAUGGCUCGAGUUUGGGAGAGGGAUGCGGAAUUCCAGGUGUAGCGGUGAAAUGCGUAGAUAUCUGGAGGAACACCGGUGGCGAAGGCGGCAUCCUGGACCAACACUGACGCUGAGGCGCGAAAGCUAGGGGAGCGAACGGG